This 797-nucleotide ribosomal RNA is filed under the name uncultured Actinomycetaceae bacterium. Its description in RNAcentral is "bacterial SSU rRNA". It matches the Rfam family "Bacterial small subunit ribosomal RNA", at positions 28 to 821 of the family's 1533-position model. The record is from RNAcentral. Lineage: Bacteria; Bacillati; Actinomycetota; Actinomycetes; Actinomycetales; Actinomycetaceae.
GACGAACGCUGGCGGCGUGCUUAACACAUGCAAGUCGAACGGGCUCUGUCUGGCUGUGUGCUGGGUGGGGUUAGUGGCGAACGGGUGAGUAAUACGUGAGUAACCUGCCCUCUUCUUUGGGAUAAGCCUUGGAAACGGGGUCUAAUACUGGAUAUUCCUGUCUGGUCGCAUGGCUGGGUGGGGAAAGUUUUUUCGGCGGGGGAUGGGCUCGCGGCCUAUCAGCUUGUUGGUGGGGUGAUGGCCUACCAAGGCGUCGACGGGUAGCCGGCCUGAGAGGGUGACCGGCCACACUGGGACUGAGAUACGGCCCAGACUCCUACGGGAGGCAGCAGUGGGGGAUAUUGCACAAUGGGCGCAAGCCUGAUGCAGCGACGCCGCGUGGGGGAUGACGGCUUUCGGGUUGUAAACCUCUUUCGUCGGGGGACAAGGCUCUGCUUGGUGGUGGGGUUGAGGGUACCCGGUGAAGAAGCGCCGGCUAACUACGUGCCAGCAGCCGCGGUAAUACGUAGGGCGCGAGCGUUGUCCGGAAUUAUUGGGCGUAAAGGGCUCGUAGGCGGCUUGUCGCGUCUGCUGUGAAAAUGCGGGGGCUUAACUCCGUACGUGCAGUGGGUACGGGCAGGCUAGAGUGCGGUAGGGGUGACUGGAAUUCCUGGUGUAGCGGGGAAAUGCGCAGAUAUCAGGACGAACAACCAUGGCGAAGGGGGUCACUGGGGCUGUUACUGACCUCAAGAGAAAAGCGUGGGGAGCAAACAGAUUAAAUACCUUGUUGUCCAAGGCCGAUUCCAGAGCGGAUACCA